RNAcentral lists this ribosomal RNA (254 nucleotides) under uncultured bacterium. RNAcentral's name for it is "partial 16S ribosomal RNA". It matches the Rfam family "Bacterial small subunit ribosomal RNA", at positions 524 to 776 of the family's 1533-position model. The record is from RNAcentral.
UACGUAGGGUGCGAGCGUUGUCCGGAAUUAUUGGGCGUAAAGAGCUCGUAGGCGGUGUGUCGCGUCGGCCGUGAAAACCUGGGGCUCAACUCUGGGCGUGCGGUCGAUACGGGCAUCACUUGAGUUCGGCAGGGGAGACUGGAAUUCCUGGUGUAGCGGUGAAAUGCGCAGAUAUCAGGAGGAACACCGGUGGCGAAGGCGGCAUCCUGGACCACCACUGACACUGAGGAGCGAAAGCCAGGGGAGCAAACGGG